UCCAGACUCCUACGGGAGGCAGCAGUGGGGGAUAUUGCACAAUGGGGGGAACCCUGAUGCAGCGACGCCGCGUGGGUGAAGGAGCGUUUCGGCGCGUAAAGCCCUAUCGGCAGGGAAGAAGGAGGACGGUACCUGACUAAGAAGCCCCGGCUAACUACGUGCCAGCAGCCGCGGUAAUACGUAGGGGGCAAGCGUUAUCCGGAUUUACUGGGUGUAAAGGGGGCGCAGACGGCAGCGCAAGCCAGGAGUGAAAGCCCGGGGCCCAACCCCGGGACUGCUCUUGGAACUGCGCGGCUGGAGUGCAGGAGGGGCAGGCGGAAUUCCUGGUGUAGCGGUGAAAUGCGUAGAUAUUAGGAGGAACACCAGUGGCGAAGGCGGCCUGCUGGACGACAACUGACGGUGAGGCGCGAAAGCGUGGGGAGCAAACAGGAUUAGAUACCCCAGUAGA
RNAcentral lists this ribosomal RNA (448 nucleotides) under uncultured bacterium. RNAcentral's name for it is "bacterial SSU rRNA". It matches the Rfam family "Bacterial small subunit ribosomal RNA", at positions 330 to 794 of the family's 1533-position model. The record is from RNAcentral.